GACGAACGCUGGCGGCGUGCUUAACACAUGCAAGUCGAACGGAAAGGCCCUGCUUUUGUGGGGUGCUCGAGUGGCGAACGGGUGAGAAACACGUGAGUAACCUGCCCUUGACUUUGGGAUAACUUCAGGAAACUGGGGCUAAUACCGGAUAGGAGCUCCUGCUGCAUGGUGGGGGUUGGAAAGUUUCGGCGGUUGGGGAUGGACUCGCGGCUUAUCAGCUUGUUGGUGGGGUAGUGGCUUACCAAGGCUUUGACGGGUAGCCGGCCUGAGAGGGUGACCGGCCACAUGGGGACUGAGAUACGGCCCAGACGCCUACGGGAGGCAGCAGUGGGGAAUAUUGCACAAUGGGCGGAAGCCUGAUGCAGCAACGCCGCGUGCGGGAUGACGGCCUUCGGGUUGUAAACCGCUUUCGCCUGUGACGAAGCGUGAGUGACGGUAAUGGGUAAAGAAGCACCGGCUAACUACGUG
Molecule: ribosomal RNA, 468 nt
Filed under: uncultured bacterium
Lineage: Bacteria
Description: partial 16S ribosomal RNA
Rfam family: Bacterial small subunit ribosomal RNA
Source: RNAcentral